AAAGCGCACGCAGGCGGUUUGUUAAGCUAGAUGUGAAAGCCCUGGGCUCAACCUGGGAAUUGCAUUUAGAACUGGCAGGCUAGAGUUUUGGAGAGGGGAGUGGAAUUCCAGGUGUAGCGGUGAAAUGCGUAGAUAUCUGGAGGAACAUCAGUGGCGAAGGCGACUCCCUGGUCAGUAACUGACGCUCAUGUGCGAAAGUGUGGGUAGCGAACAGGAUUAGAUACCCUGGUAGUCCACACCGUAAACGCUGUCUACUAGCUGUUUGUGGAUUUAAUCCGUGAGUAGCGAAGCUAACGCGAUAAGUAGACCGCCUGGGGAGUACGGCCGCAAGGUUAAAGCUCAAAUGAAUUGACGGGGGCCCGCACAAGCGGUGGAGCAUGUGGUUUAAUUCGAUGCAACGCGAAGAACCUUACCUACUCUUGACAUACUGAGAACUUAGCAGAGAUGCUUUGGUGCCUUCGGGAACUCAGAUACAGGUGCUGCAUGGCUGUCGUCAGCUCGUGUCGUGAGAUGUUGGGUUAAGUCCCGCA
RNAcentral lists this ribosomal RNA (530 nucleotides) under uncultured bacterium. Its description in RNAcentral is "bacterial SSU rRNA". It matches the Rfam family "Bacterial small subunit ribosomal RNA", at positions 562 to 1091 of the family's 1533-position model. The record is from RNAcentral.